This 595-nucleotide long non-coding RNA is filed under the name Capsicum annuum. RNAcentral describes it as "long non-coding RNA (CANN_LNC004408)". Lineage: Eukaryota; Viridiplantae; Streptophyta; Magnoliopsida; Solanales; Solanaceae. The record is from RNAcentral.
UGUGACCCAAGGGUAAACAAAAUGGAUAAAAAAAAAUGUUAUCCUUACGGCCCAAUAAUUGUUAUUUUAGGCUACAUCAUACGUCCAAAGUAGCAAGUAUACGUAAAUUUUAUAACCAUUUUCUCAAUUUCCAUUGCUUUUCAUAAAAACAUCAGACUUCACUUUAUGAAGAAUGGUGGACAUCUCUUCACGCUUCUUCUUUUCUCUCGAUUGAUGUAACUUCCUUGGCCACUCUAAUGUACAUCUUUCUGUUUCAGCUUUAGAAAGUUUAGUAAUUCUCCUAAUAAUCGGGUUUUAGUUUAUUUUUUUUUUCUAUCACAAUGGAUCAGAAUAUUUCCUUUGUUAAGAAGCACAGAGAGACUUGUAUUUGAUUGUUUUGAAGUUGUUACUCUUUAAUAUCUUCCGAUUGCAAUUGUACAUGCAAUUCUUAAAUUUUUCUUCGUCUUCUUUUCUGCAAGAUGAAAAAAUUGGUUAAUAACAAAGAAAGCAAAAAAAUAAUAAAAAAAUAAAGCAAGGUCAAAGACGUAAGAAUUAAGAUCAAUAUAUUACACAUACUUGUAAUAUAUUUCCUUGUAAACGAAAGAAUACACAAACA